RNAcentral lists this ribosomal RNA (390 nucleotides) under Echis coloratus. RNAcentral's name for it is "partial 16S ribosomal RNA". It matches the Rfam family "Bacterial large subunit ribosomal RNA", at positions 1998 to 2603 of the family's 2925-position model. The record is from RNAcentral. Lineage: Eukaryota; Metazoa; Chordata; Lepidosauria; Squamata; Viperidae.
GGCAACAUGAGAGUCCAACUGUCUCUUAUAACAAAUCAAUUAAACUGAUCCCCUAGUACAAAAGCUAGAAUAUCUACAUAAGACCAGAAGACCCUGUGAAGCUUUAACUAACCUAUUAAACCCUAUAAUAGCUAGUUUCGGUUGGGGCGACCUUGGAACAAAAAAAAACUUCCAAACAUGCAUCUUACCUGCACCAAAGGCCAACAAGCCACAAUUAGACCCAGUUUUAACCUGACAAAUGAACCAAGUUACUCCAGGGAUAACAGCGCUAUCUUCUUCAAGAGCCCAUAUCAAAAAGAAGGUUUACGACCUCGAUGUUGGAUCAGGACAUCCUAGCAAUGCAACCGUUACUAAGGGUUCGUUUGUUCAACGAUUAAUAGUCCUACGUGA